This 272-nucleotide small nuclear RNA is filed under the name Salvator merianae (Argentine black and white tegu). RNAcentral's name for it is "7SK RNA (ENSSMRG00000009848.1)". It matches the Rfam family "7SK RNA". From Rfam's summary of the family: 7SK was discovered as an abundant small nuclear RNA in the mid-70s but a possible function has only recently been suggested. Two independent studies have found that 7SK RNA binds the CDK9/cyclin T complex (known as elongation factor P-TEFb). The record is from Rfam by way of RNAcentral. Lineage: Eukaryota; Metazoa; Chordata; Lepidosauria; Squamata; Teiidae.
GGAUGUGACAGUGAUUUUGCUAUGGGAUCUGUUACUCUGUUGAUUCCUAGGGUUGAUUCAGCUGAUCUGGCUGGCUAGACAGUGUCCUCUUCCUACCUCAACAUUCCAUGGUAUGCGCUUGGUGUAAGAGGAUGAGCAUUCAAAAUAGGCGUGCACAAUAGCUGUGCUCCCUGCUAGAGCCUCCUAACAAGCUCAGAGCCCAUAUUUAGAAAACUGUGGUAGUUCUCAUAGUUCUCACAGAACUGUGGAAGUUCUCAAGCUAAAUUUUCUAU